Molecule: ribosomal RNA, 125 nt
Organism: Pteropus vampyrus (large flying fox)
Lineage: Eukaryota; Metazoa; Chordata; Mammalia; Chiroptera; Pteropodidae
Source: Ensembl
ACCUGUAAAAUGGGCACACUAAGAGUACCUGCUUCCUGCUCUUGUCUGAUCUUUGAAGCUAAGCAGGGUCGGGCCUGGUUAGUACUUGGAAGGGAGACCACCUAGAAUACCAGGUGCUAUAGGUG